GACGAACGCUGGCGGCGUGCCUAAUACAUGCAAGUAGAACGCUGAAGGAGGAGCUUGCUUCUCUGGAUGAGUUGCGAACGGGUGAGUAACGCGUAGGUAACCUGCCUGGUAGCGGGGGAUAACUAUUGGAAACGAUAGCUAAUACCGCAUAAUAGCAGUUGUUGCAUGACAACUGUUUGAAAGGUGCAAUUGCACCACUACCAGAUGGACCUGCGUUGUAUUAGCUAGUUGGUGGGGUAACGGCUCACCAAGGCGACGAUACAUAGCCGACCUGAGAGGGUGAUCGGCCACACUGGGACUGAGACACGGCCCAGACUCCUACGGGAGGCAGCAGUAGGGAAUCUUCGGCAAUGGACGGAAGUCUGACCGAGCAACGCCGCGUGAGUGAAGAAGGUUUUCGGAUCGUAAAGCUCUGUUGUAAGAGGAGAACGAGUGUGAGAGUGGAAAGUUCACACUGUGACGGUAUCUUACCAGAAAGGGACGGCUAACUACGUG
This 495-nucleotide ribosomal RNA is filed under the name uncultured bacterium. RNAcentral's name for it is "partial 16S ribosomal RNA". It matches the Rfam family "Bacterial small subunit ribosomal RNA", at positions 28 to 507 of the family's 1533-position model. The record is from RNAcentral.